Molecule: transfer RNA, 76 nt
Filed under: Bacteroidales bacterium
Lineage: Bacteria; Pseudomonadati; Bacteroidota; Bacteroidia; Bacteroidales
Description: tRNA-Lys
Rfam family: tRNA
About the family: Transfer RNA (tRNA) molecules are approximately 80 nucleotides in length. Their secondary structure includes four short double-helical elements and three loops (D, anti-codon, and T loops). Further hydrogen bonds mediate the characteristic L-shaped molecular structure. tRNAs have two regions of fundamental functional importance: the anti-codon, which is responsible for specific mRNA codon recognition, and the 3' end, to which the tRNAs corresponding amino acid is attached (by aminoacyl-tRNA synthetases). tRNAs cope with the degeneracy of the genetic code in two manners: having more than one tRNA (with a specific anti-codon) for a particular amino acid; and 'wobble' base-pairing, i.e. permitting non-standard base-pairing at the 3rd anti-codon position.
Source: RNAcentral
CGGUCCGUAGCUCAGUUGGUAGAGCAGCUGACUCUUAAUCAGCGGGUCCAGGGUUCGAAUCCCUGCGGACCGACCA